RNAcentral lists this ribosomal RNA (495 nucleotides) under uncultured bacterium. Its description in RNAcentral is "partial 16S ribosomal RNA". It matches the Rfam family "Bacterial small subunit ribosomal RNA", at positions 28 to 507 of the family's 1533-position model. The record is from RNAcentral.
GACGAACGCUGGCGGCGUGCCUAAUACAUGCGAGUAGAACGCUGAAGCAGGAGCUUGCUUCUCUGGAUGAGUUGCGAACGGGUGAGUAACGCGUAGGUAACCUGCCUGGUAGCGGGGGAUAACUAUUGGAAACGAUAGCUAAUACCGCAUAAUAGUAGAUGUUGCAUGACAUUUGCCUAAAAGGUGCAAUUGCAUCACUACCAGAUGGACCUGCGUUGUAUUAGCUAGUUGGUGGGGUAACGGCUCACCAAGGCGACGAUACAUAGCCGACCUGAGAGGGUGAUCGGCCACACUGGGACUGAGACACGGCCCAGACUCCUACGGGAGGCAGCAGUAGGGAAUCUUCGGCAAUGGACGGAAGUCUGACCGAGCAACGCCGCGUGAGUGAAGAAGGUUUUCGGAUCGUAAAGCUCUGUUGUAAGAGAAGAACGAGUGUGAGAGUGGAAAGUUCACACUGUGACGGUAUCUUACCAGAAAGGGACGGCUAACUACGUG